GAUGUAGAGAUCUGUUAAAUUCAUUUUAAAUCAUAUUCUGUUAAUGACAUUGUGCUGCAGCCUCAGACUGGGAUUAGUCAUUUUAAUUUCUUUCAGGAUUUCCCAGUGUGAUUGGCUGCAUAGAUGCACACACAUCCCCAUCACAGCUCCCUCACAUCAUGAACAGGAAGUCCAUUCACAGCAUAAAUGUGCAGAUCAUAUGUGAUGCUGCAUACAUCAUUUCUAAUGUGGAGGCCACGUGGUCUGGGUCUGUUCAUGACUCCAGGAUUUAUGGAGAGUCUAACCUGAGCAACAGACUGCAGCGUGGUCAGCAGCAUAAAGAUUUUCACAAUAGAAUUCUCUUGUCUCCCUCCUUUAAUAUGCUCUGAUGUAUCCACUAUACAUUACAGGAGAGUUUGAUGGCCUUCUGCUGGGUGACAGGGGUUACCAUGACAACCCAGGCUGAUGACCUCAUACCCUGACCCUGAACCAAGCCCCCAACAGAACUUCAACCGGACUCACUGCAGGACCAGAGCCCGGGUGGAGAUGACCAUAGGCCUGCUGAAAGCCCGUUUCCAGAGCCUACGUCUCCUCAGGGUGACCCCUGAGAGGGCCUGUGAUAUUACUGUGGCAUGUGUUGUUCUUCAUAAUAUUACCACUAUGAGAGGAGAGCAACACCCUGCCCUACAAACUGAAGACCCAGAUGAUGAGCCCAUCCACCUGCAGCUAUCCAGGACAGCAGAGCAGUCAGAGACACCGUAUGCAAUAAUCACUUUAGAGUUUAAGUCUCCAUCAUCACCACCACAGCAAAUAAAGACAUGAUACACAUUU
Long non-coding RNA from Acanthochromis polyacanthus (spiny chromis), 810 nucleotides. RefSeq lists it as uncharacterized. The transcript has 2 exons. The record is from RefSeq and is a predicted model, not a curated record. NCBI's taxonomy places the organism in Eukaryota, Metazoa, Chordata, Actinopteri, Pomacentridae.